UUAACAGCCAUGAUCGGGAUAACAGGCUGAACAGGGCCACAGAGAGCCGGAGCAGGUGGGAACCGGUGUCACUGGGCAGUCUGGGCUCACCCGGGAGCUGCCCUUGUGAACGUGCCGGCGGCACCGGUAAUGGGGGCCGGGUUUUCAGAAACCCGUUAUCAAAAGGCACAGGUAUGGUAUGUGUUUUGUGCAUGAGCGGCUCUUCAUGAGCAAUCAGGGUGGUACCGCGGAAGGAUAAACCUCUCGUCCCUGGC
This 254-nucleotide non-coding RNA is filed under the name Desulforamulus hydrothermalis Lam5 = DSM 18033. Lineage: Bacteria; Bacillati; Bacillota; Clostridia; Eubacteriales; Peptococcaceae. The record is from RNAcentral.